UGUCUGUACUUGAAAAUAGUAUGAAUGGUUUUGUUUAAGCACAAUUUCAUCAUUAAUUUUUUUUUCAAACAGAAGUUAUUUGAUUGUUUCUGUAUAAGGAUGGUGUCAAAGUCCUUGACAGCUUUGUUAUGUAGAACAAUGGGGCGUUUCAUUUCAAGAAGGCCGUCAGCUGAACUUUCACAGAGGUCAAACACUAACCUGUCUGGACUGGCUCCAACUUGUGGAUUUUCAGAACUGACCCAAAACACAGUCUUCUGCAAGAUACAACCUUGUACUGAACUUUUCGUUCUGGAUUCAUAGUCCAGAAAUGCUUUAUUUUCAUUUUGGAUCCCAUACUGCAUACUUUUCAUGUGCACUAGUUCCUCCCACAAUUUCUAUUUGAGAAAAUUGCUAACAUAUCUGACAGAUUUAAUGUUUCGCAAUUGUUUUGCUGUCAGAUGCUGUUAUACGUACUCUCCUUUCAUUAAACCAGUUUAAAGUACAUUGAGCACUGACAAUUUCAGUUGGAGAUUCUACAUUAGCGGUUGAAACUGACAUGAAAUUAACACAUUUCGUCACACUUCCUUUUUAAUUUUCUUUUGCAUUACUAUCUAAACUGUAAUCGCUAUACUGUCUGUAAAGCAAUGACUCCCACAUUGUCAGUUUACCAGUCUGCUGCUUUCUAUUGCAGUUUUAAAGUUUGCUAUUACUUCUUGUAUAUGCUGAUGCUGCUUGUAUAGUUGGUGUAGGGUCGUAGUGAAUAAUUCUAUAGAUCCACUUCCCUUUUUAGCUCACAUGUCACAAAGUGACAGUGUGAGCUUUUGUGAUCGCGCAGCGUCCGUCGUCCGUCCGUCCGUCCGUAAACUUUUGCUUGUGACCUCUCUAGAGGUCACAUUUUUCAUGGGAUCUUUAUGAAAGUUGGUCAGAAUGUUCAUCUUGAUGAUAUCUAGGUCAAGUUCGAAACUGGGUCACGUGCGGUCAAAAACUAGGUCAGUAGGUCUAAAAAUAGAAAAACCUUGUGACCUCUCUAGAGGCCACAUUUUUCACAAGAUCUUCAUGAAAAUUGGUCAGAAUGUUCAUCUUGAUGAUAUCUAGGUCAAGUUCGAAACUGGGUCACGUGACAUCAAAAACUAGGUCAGUAGGUCAAAUAAUAGAAAAACCUUGUGACCUCUCUAGAGGCCAUAUUUUUCAUGGGAUCUGUAUGAAAGUUGGUGUGAAUGUUCAUCUUGAUGAUAUCUAGGUCAAGUUCGAAACUGGGUCAGCUGCGGUCAAAAACUAGGUCAUUAGGUCUAAAAAUAGAAAAACCUUGUGACCUCUGUAGAGGUCAUACUAUUGAAUGGAUCUUCAUGAAAAUUGGUCAGAACGUUCACCUUGAUGAUAUCUAGGUCAAGUUUGAAACUGGGUCACGUGCCAUCAAUAACUAGGUCAGUAGGUCAAAUGAUAAAAAAACCUUGUGACCUCUCUAGAAGCCAUAUUUUUCAUGGGAACUGUAUGAAGGUUGGUCUGAAUGUUCAUCUUGAUGAUAUCUAGGCCAGGUUCGAAACUGGGUCAACUGUGAUUAAAAACUAGGUCAGUAGGUCUAAAAAUAGAAAAACCUUGUGACCUCUCUAGAGGCCAUAUUUUUCACAAGAUCUUCAUGAAAAUUGGUCAAAAUGUUCACCUUGAUGAUAUCUAGGUCAGGUUUGAAACUGGGUCACGUGCCGUCAAUAACUAGGUCAGUAGGUCAAAUAAUGAAAAAACCUUGUGACCUCUCUAGAGGCCAUAUUUUUCAUGGGAUCUGUAUGAAAGUUGGUCUGAAUGUUCAUCUUGAUGAUAUCUAGGUCAGAUUCAAAACUGGGUCACAUGAGCUCAAAAACUAGGUCACUAUGUCAAAUAAUAGAAAAAAAACGACGUCAUACUCAGUUCAAAACUGGGUCAUGUUGGGACAGGUGAGCAAUUCAGGACCAUCAUGGUCCUCUUGUUUUUAAACUGUUUAGGUUUACUUGUGAACUGUUUUGCAGAUUCUUUUUCUUUGUGCGUCCUUUGUUCCAUUCACACAAUUUGGAUGUGCUAGAACUGGAUCAGUACCAUAUUUUUCAAUGUAAUCCUUUAAUGCCAAGAGAACGGCUGUUACAUGUGAACAUCUCCCCAUUCUGCUUGAUGCACAAGUACAAGAACCUUCUUUAACCUUUAGCCUGCUAGCGGCAAGUGAUUCUGCCUUUGCGACCAGUGCAGACCAAGAUCAGCCUGCACAUGAGUCUGAUCAUGGUCUGCACUGUUUGCUAUAUAAGUCAGUAAAUUUUCAGUAAAUACCCCUUCGAAUGAUAAAUGGUACUGCCCAAAUUGUAUAAUGGACCAGUCCAUUGUAGAACUUUAGCAGGGUAAGGGUUAAUAAAACCACUUCCUUGACUUAUCUGGAUCAGAACAUUGUAAUCAGUUGCUGUAUUAUAUGAAGCAAGAACUACAGCUUUUAGGAAGUAUAUUAGCACCAUAUUUUCAUGGCAAUCAGCAUACAUUCUGAGAAUGCAUAUUUUUCCAAAUUGUUACAUAUAUAUUCUGGAUUUGUGUGUGUGUUUUAAUACCGAAAUAAGCAGACGCAUAGGAGGCAUUCAUAUUACACUUAAGGUUACUGACUGCCCAGCAUUGAGUAAAUUACUGUGAGUAUCAGUCUUGUUCUUAACAUCCAUUUAAUAUUUGACUGUUGUGUUGGUUUCAUUUCCAGUGCACCUCUAUGCCUUUUGACAAUUUGUCGUAAUAAAUUUGACGUCAGAAAAAUAAACUGUUGUAUGAUAGUAGAAAAUUUUCAGCAGUCUUUUAUUAAUAUGAGAAAGAAUCUGUUUGAGUUAGAAUUAACCAUCCAGUACAUUUUUAUGCCCCCACUUUGCGGGGGGGUGGGGCAUAUAGAUUUGCCCUUGUCCGUCCGUCCUUCAAUCCGUCCGUCCUUCCGAGAAUAUUGUGUCGCGCCUAGCUCCAAAAGUAUUUGACGUAGAGUCACAAAACUUUACAGGAAUGUUGGUCAGCAUGUGUAGUUGUGCACCUGGGAUUUCGCAUCCGGAUUCAUUCAGUUGUGUAGGAGUUAUGGCCCCUGACUUUGUAAAAAUUGGUCAUUUUAGUGUUGUGUCGCACCUAGCUCUAAAAGUAUUUGACGUAGAGUCACAAAACUUUACAGGAAUGUUGGUCAGCAUGUGUAGUUGUGCACCUGGGAUUUCGCAUCCGGAUUCAUUCAGUUGUGUAGGAGUUAUGGCCCCUGACUUUGUAAAAAUUGGUCAUUUUAGUGUUGUGUCGCACCUCGCUGCAUAAGUAUUUGACGUAGAGUCACAAAACUUUACAGGAAUGUUGGUCAGCAUGUGAAGUUGUGCACCUGGGGUUUCGCGUCAGGAUUCAUUCAAUCGUGUAGGAGUUAUGGCCCCUGACUUAGUAAAAAAUUGGUCAUUUUAAUGUUGCGUCUCGCAUAGCUCCAAAAGUAUCUGACCUAGAGUCACCAAAGUUUACAGGAAUGUUGGUCAGCAUGUGCAGUUGUGCACUUGGGUUUCGCAUCCGGAUUCAUUCAGUCGUGUAGGAGUUAUGGCCCCUGACAUAGUUAAAAAUUGGUCAUUUUAAUGUUGGGCGCGCGUAGCUCCAAAAGUAUUUGACCUAGAGUCACCAGAGUUUACAGGAAUGUUGGUCAGCAUGUGCAGUUGUGCACCUGGGGUUUUGCGUCCAGAUUCAUUCAGUCGUGUAGGAGUUAUGGCCCAUGACUUAGUUAAAAAUUGGUCAUUUUAAUGUUGUGUCGCACGUAGCUCCAAAAGUAUUUGACCUAGAGUCACCAAAGUUUACAGGAAUGUUGGUCAGCAUGUGCAGGUGUCCUUUGUCAUGUAGUGGGGGCAUCUGUAUCCCAUGGACACAUUUCUAGUUUUUCUUUUGUUGAUCAAUAUAAGUCAACUUAUACCUAAAUGUUGAGUGAUACUCCUCAAUAAUAUUGACAGCUGUAUCAGGAGAAGUUACAUGUGUAGUCCUGAAAAAAAACACACCAAAUGUUCAAGUUGAUUGACCUUUAUUUGUAUUUUUAUUAUGCCCCCCUUCGAAGAAGGAAGGGUAUAUUGUUUUGCAGAUGUCGGUCGGUCUGUCGGUAGGUUGGUCGGUCGGUCGGUCGGAAUGUAGACCAAUCCGUUUCUGGACGAUAACUCAAGAACGCUUGGGCCUAGGAUCAUGAAAGUUGAUAGGGAGGUUGAUCAUCACCAGCAGAUGACCCCUAUUGAUUUUGAGGUCUGUAUGUCAAAGGUCAAGGUCACAGUGACCCUGAAUAGUAAAACGGUUUCCGGAUGAUAACUCAAGAAAAUUUUGGCCUAGGAUCAUGAAAGUUGAUAGGGAGGUUAGUCAUGACCAGCAGAUGACCCCUAUUGAUUUUGAGGUCAGUAUAUUAAAGGUCAAGGUCACAGUGACCCUGAACAGUAAAACGGUUUCUGGAUGAUAACUCAAGAAUGCUUAGGCCUAGGGUCACGAAAGUUGAUAGGGAGGUUAGUCAUGACCAGCAGAUGACCCCGAUUGAUUUUGAGAUGAGUAUGUCAAAGGUCAAGGUCACAGUGACCAGGAACAGUAAAAUGGUUUCCAGGCAAUACCUAAAGAGUGCUUGGGCCUUGUGUCAGGAAAAUUGAUAGUUAGGUUGGCCAUGACCAGCAGAUGACCCCUAUUGAUUUUGAGGUCAUUAGGUCAAAGGUCAAGGUCACAUUGGCCAGGAACAGUUAAACGGUUUCUGAUCUUCUUGUCCAAAACCAUAGGGACUAGGGCUUUGAUAUUUGGUAUGUCGCAGAAUCUAGUGGUCCUCUACCAAGAUUGUUCAGAUUAUUUCCCUGGGGUCAAAUAUGGCCCCGCCUAGGGGAGAACAGUAGAACUUUUGUUUACAAUGAGCAAAUGAUUUCUGUUCCUUGUGCAUUUAUUGAAUGCAUCAAGGGGGGCAUUUAGUGUUCAACGAGCUCUUGUUUUAUUUUGCAUUAAAUUGUAUAUCAUUAUCUUUUACCUAUAGCAGUAAUAAUGUCUCUAAAACUGGUUACAUUGCGUCUUGGUGUCUCAGUGAACUAAAAGGGUAGCAUCGCCCGGUAAUGUUUCUUUCUGUCGACUUGCUUGUUGAAUCUGUCAACAAUUCCAUGGUCUAUAAAUGACAUAGCUAGCAGUGCAUUGAAAAAGAUCCUGUAGACGUAAUCACUAGUGGCCACUAACUUUGUUAUCUCAUCCCUUCACGAAUCUAUACAAUAGUAGUCCAAAAACAGAUCUUAUAAUCAUCCUUGUAUUGUAUUUUGCCGAAAUGAUCCCAGAGCUUACACUUGGAUUCGACAAGUCUGUUGUGUGUUAAAAAGCUUAUGUUUCUCUUGAAUUUUAUCUUCAUGUAAGCCACACAACUGUUCCUCCAAGUAUCUUCCAUGACAUUAAUUCAGCAGCAAUUCUUUUAUGUUUCCUUACACAAUUGCUUGUUUCUGAGCAGCAUGUCCAAAGUCUUGGAUCUGUCUCUCAGUGUUUCAAUAUUGAUGAUGUUCACCUGCAUCUUCUUAAUAAUGAAAUUGUUGAGCAGAAUGGUUGUGGUGAAUAUACACCAAGAAUAUGUAUGAUUAACUGGAACCACUUGUCCUCCUUAUACAAAAACACUCCAACAACUGCAACUGAAAAAAUAGCAGCCAGAAAAGCAACUGAUCCAAAAUAUUGGAUAACACUGUUGUCCAUUUAUAUCCAAUACUGGCCACAUAGAGAUCUGAAUCCUCACGAAUGUCCUCUUUGAUCAAAUCCAACAAAUUAUCCUUCAAAUAACAAUAGAUAGGUAAGUUAAAGAAACUACCCCACUGUCCUUGAGAUUCAUCGAAGGCAUAUUUCAUGGCUGAAGUCAUGAAUAAGUCAAUGUAUUUGAAACCAUAAUCAGUUUCAUCUCUCUCCUUCAAAUGGCUCAAAUACACUAACAGAAUUAUAAGGAUGAACCACUCGUCAUUUUUUUACUACUGUAGUAGUACGUAUUUACUCUUUACUUUCGUGCAAACGAAAUAUGAGAAAAAGUCCAAGUUUUGUCUUGCACACUCUAGUUGCUCCUGUGUCAACAAGAAGUUCAAGUUAUUGUCCAACAGUACUCAGUCACAUCUAUCAUAGUCUCAAAAAUAUCUUGAAACUUUGUGUCUACUUCUUCAGUCUCCGGAACCGAAAGCAUGUGUUAUCAAUUACAACUUAACGAGUUGUGGGUGGUUAUAGAAUGCUCUUCCAUUAACUUGACUAUUCAAAGAAUAGGUAGAGCUAUUGGAUUCACCCAUGCUUCAGCGUCUGCUGAAGGGAAUGGAUUGAAACUUCACACUCUAAUUUACUGUGAUAACCUGACUUACAUUGCACAAGUUCUGUAACUCCUUUUAGCUCACCUGAGCCAAAGGCAUGUGUCAGUUUUGCACACCGAUCUUAAAACUGACUUUCAGUGAUCAUGAAUGUGACCUACUGACCUACUUUCUUGUUUUUUUUUAAGAUACAGCCUUGAAAAUUGGAUGGCAUGACAUUGUACAGUUUUGCACACUGAGGUUAAAACUGACUUUCAGUGACCAUAAAUGUGACCUACUGACCUACUUUCUUAAUAUUUUAGCAUCAGUUUGACAUUUAAAACAUGUAGCUUGUAUUAUUCAGGUGAGCGAUCCAGGGUCAUCAUGACCGUCUUGUUUACCUUUUUACCAUAGUAUGCCCCUUUGUCAACUUUUAUGUGAAUUGAGUUGACAGGGCUGUUGAAUAGUCGAACAUUGCUGUCCUCAGACUGCUCUUGUUAGUGAGGCUUGUAGCUUCAGCAUUUGUAUGCAACAAAUAUUGAUAUUUUAUUUAUUGAUUGUGUAAUUAAUUGACUAAUUAACCCAAUCAUGGCAUCAGUUGUAUUCUUAAACAUGUAAAACAACUAUACUUUUUAUAAUAUGGCAAAUGGUUGGGGAGUUAUCUGACCGAACAUGCUUUUAAAUCGAUAACACUCAUUUAGUCUAGGAACAUUUGUACACUGGUUUAGUACUGUAAGUUAUAUUCAUAAAAUUAGAUACACAGAUACACAACAAAAUAAUAUAAAAUUUAGAAUAACAGCCGGUGUAACAAAACCCGAACAUGCAUUUGUUUAUUUACAACGACCUGAUAAAAGUAAUUCACAAGAACAUAACCCACAUUUAUUAGAUACAUUUCUUCUUGAAAACCACGUGGCAGAAUUACACCAAACUUCACAGGAAUGAUCCUUGGGUGGCCACCUUUCAAAAUUGUUCAAAGAAUUGAAUUCCAUGCAGAACUCUGGUUGCCAUGGCAACCGAAAGGAAAAACUUUAAAAAUCUUCUUGUCCAAAACUACAGGGCCUAGGGCUUUCAUAUCUGGUGUGUAGCAUCAUCUAGUGGUCUGCUACCAAAAUUGUUCAAAUUAUCCCCCUAGGGUCGAUUGUGGCCCCGCCCCGGGGGUCACAUGGUUUAUAUAGACUUAUAUAGGGAAAACUUUGAAAAUCUUCUUGUACAAAACCACAUGGCCUAGGGCUUUGAUAUUAGGUAUGUAGCAUCAUCUAGUGGUCCUCUACCAAGAUUGUUCAAAUUAUCCCCCUAGGGUAAAUAUGGCCCCACCCCGGGGGUCCCAAGUUUUACAUAGACUUAUAUCGGAAAAAAAGUUUAAAAAUCUUCUUGUCUGAAAGCACAACACUUAGACCUUUGAUAUUUGGUUUGUAGUGUUGUCUUAUGGUCCUCAACCAAAAUUGUUCAAAUUGUACCCCUGGGGUGAAAUGAGGCCCUGCCCUGGGGGUUCCAAGUUUUAUAUAGACUUAUAUAGGAAAAAAACUUUAAAAAUCUUCUUGUCUGACACCGUAGGACCUAGGCUUUUGGUAUUUGGUAUAAUGCAUUGUCUAGUAGUCCUCUACCAAAAUUAUUCAAAUUAUGCCCCUGGGGUUAAAAGAGGCCCCGCCCUGGGGGCACUUAGUUAUUAUGUGAGUUAUACAGGGAAAAAUACUUAAAAAAUCACUUGAUCCUUUUUCCAAGACUGUUUAAUUAUAAUUACCUGAUGAUCCAAAGUAAUCUGAUGUCACUUGACUGUGACCUUGACCUACUGACCUACUUUCUUGUUUUUAAAGAUACAGCUUUGAAAUUUUGAUGAUAUACACAGUUUUGCACACCAAUCAUAAAACUGAAUUUCAUUGACCGUGAAUGUGACCUACUGACUUUCUUAAUAUUUUAUCAUCAGUUUGACAUUUGAAACAUGUAGCUCGUAUUACUCAGGUGAGCAAUCCAGGGUCAUCAUGACCCUCUUGUUCAUUUCCUGUCCACAUCAAACCCUUUGGUCUAACCUACUCUGUUGGCCAUUACUAAGUAUCUCGGUAUUAAAAGGCCUUUCAAAUGUACUAAUAAAUGCUUGUCCUGUCUGAACAUUUUUCUUGAAGCAAAAUUACGAUGUUGAUUCUUGAAGCAAAAUUACCAUGUUCACAGAUAUAUUUUGAAACCAUUUUGUUUCCUGUUGGUUGUACAUUUCCUGUUGGUUGUACAGAUACCAUCAGUUGAAUGACUAAUUGGUAGAUGAACAUUUCUGGUAUAGAUACUGCCAAAUGUAUCAAAAUGAGUCAUGAAUUGGUAAACUUGGAUACACACCAAGCUUUGCACUGCACUGACACAACAAACUAUCUUUUAAUUGCAAAAGCAAAUUAAUUGUGCCACUCUCGCCACCCUCGGCGAUUGAUGCAAGGUAUGCUGCAGUACCUAUUAAUCCAACCUCCAAUGCAACAUGGUAUAUCACGAAGUGAAUCCAAGUAUAUUUCAUAUCCUGUGUUAGAGAUGUGCACACCACCGCUCCUAAAGAAACCAGGAGUUUGGAUAUCGAUAAGAUAUGAAAUUUAGAAGGAGAAACUAUUUUAAUAAUUUUAUGUCCAAACUGAUUGAUCUUCUUUCCCUACUUUAAUUGCCUUUAAAUUUUCCUUCUCACUCUUACAGCCCCAAUCAAGUCUUCAUAAGAUAUCAGUCCACACAAAGAUAGAAUACGGAGAAGUGUUUUGAGUGUAUUCUAAUUUCCUGUACCAGUUUAAAAAUGUAUUUUAAUGUGUGGGUCUUGAUAUCGUUAGCUACCUAAAUGAAAUAAUGAAAGUACCUUCAAUGGAGAGGUAAAAAGUGCUGGCAACUGCAUAGUAUAUAUAUUACAGUGAAUAAAGUCAGCCAAUCCCAGUCUGAUCCCCCAACAUGUGAUGGUGUAUCCUUCUAGAUGCUUUAAAUUGAGGAUUCCCCUAACUUCAGCUCUCAUGCCAGCCCAGUAUGGUACUGAAUCACCUGUUUUAGCCUGAUAUCUCUAUUGUCAGCUGAAUUAUCAUUGUUGAAUGAUUGUCUCUGGCGCUUGUUGCUUCUCUCCUGCUGAGGGUGUUUAAACUGAAUUACCAUCUACCACAAUUUCAAACACUGAAACAAUACAACCUUUUGGGAAACUGUCAAAAUCCCAAAUGUAUGACAUGUCGUUUUAGCUCACCUGUCACGUAGUGACACUGUGACAGGGUGAGCUUUUUUGAUCGCCUUCGUCCGUCGUCCGUCCACAAUUUCCUUGUGAACACAAUAGAGACCACAUUUUGUAUUUGAUUUUAAUCAGACUUGCACACAACUUGUAUGGGCAUAAUAUCUCGGUUCCUUUCGAAAACUGGCCAGAUCCCAUCAUGGGUUCCAGAGUUAUGGCCCCUUAAAGGGCCAAAAUUUGCUAUGUUUGGCUUGUGAACACGAUAGAGACAACAUUUUGCAAUCAACUUUAAUAAAACUUGCACACAACUUGUAUUCUUUGUCACAAGAGGGCCAUAACUGAGCUAAAGUCCUUGUCCUAGUUAUGUAGUCUUGCCUACAUAUGUGUAUUAUGACGGUAAACAAGUGGUAAAAGCUUCAAAGCCAUAUGACAGACAUGUUAGGCAAAAUAUAGACUGGUAUGAAAAAUUUAACUGAUUUUCAAGUCCAAAAAGGACCAUAAUUCAGCCAGAAUAGUUGACAGAGAUAUGAAGUGUUACCUACAACUUCAUUAUGGAGAUCAUGAUGAUAAGCAAGUGCUCAAAGUUUCAAAGCCACAUGUCAAACAAUUUUGAUACAACGUUGUAUGAAAACAGAACCAAUUUCCAAGUCCAAAUACUAAAAGGGCCAUAAUUCAGCCAAAAUACUUGACAGAGUUAUGUUCUCUUGCCUACAGAUGGAAAUCAUGAUGAUAAGCAAGUGUUCAAAGUUUCAAAGCCACACAAGCCUUAAGUUUCGACAAAACAUGGACUUGUACAAAAACUGAAUCAAUUUCUAAGUCCAAAAAGACCAUAAUUCAGCCAAAAUACUUGACAGAGUUAUGUACUCUUGCCUACAGAUAGAGACUGUUAAGAUAAACAAGUGAUAUAAACGUUCCACCACUCUAUAUCAAACAGUUUGCACAAAAUAUGAACUGGUAUGAAAAACUUAACCAAGAUUUGUAAGUUAAAAGGGACCAUAAUUCAGCCAAAAUCCUUGAUGGAGUUAUGUACUCUUGCCUAAAACUAGACAUGGUGAUGGUACACAAGUGUUGAAACUUUCAAAGCAUUAUAUCAAAAGGUUUUGUCAAAAAUGUGGACUUGUACGAAAAAGAUUAACCAAGGUGUGAUGCCGAAGCUGAUGCCAACGCCGUGUUGAGUAGGAUAGCUCUACUUAUUCUUCAAAUAGUCGAGCUACAGAGUAGACCAAACAAAAAAUUGACCAAGAAAUACUGUACAAAUUUAAAAAGGGCCACAUUUCUGACAGAAUACAAGUGGUAGUCAUGGCUCGUGACCAGUAUUUAGUCAACUUAUGAUGACAGACAAGUAUAUAAAGUUUCAAGCUAUAGCUGUUAAAGUAUGCAACAGAUUUGACCAAGAAAUUCCAAUUUUCUAGGUAAAAUUCUGCCAAAAAAGUGACAGAAGUGGGAAUUAGGACCCUUGGUGAUGUAAUGAUGAUAAACAGGUGUACUAAGUUUCAAAGCUAUAAUUCUAAUAGUUUCUAAGUAGAAGGAAAGAGGAACGUAAACAAAAAAUGUUAACCAAGACAACAGCUGACAAAGUUCAACAAAAUGAUGACAAUACCUUCUAGAUUUAAAAAUGAAUCAGAUGUGCUGAAAAGAAUUCAGAAAAGUCUUUUUAAUUAUACUAUCAAACUAGGUACAAUGUAAAUUCUGAAAUCUCCUGGACUUUCAACUGAAUUCUCCUGUAUAGAUGCCCAGGAAGUUUAAUUGGCAUGUAUGCAUUGUUAUGAUAUAUUUGUAUCUGAGUCAUUUUUGCCCUAUGUUUGCUGUAAAUCAUCCAAAGUCAACCAACAGUUAGUUUGCAGAAUUCAGAACUUGCUAUUUGCUUCAUAUGUCUUUUCAUUUUACAAAUUUGAUGUCUAAAUCUCCACUUAUAUAUAUUUCCCAAGGAUUUCUUUGAUGCCAUGGUUCCAGCUCAAGUAUUAUUUCAACAGAUCAGAACUGCCUGAAUGUUAUGGUUUCUACAUAUUUGAGGUACUUUGGUAAUGGCAGCUCACUGAAAUGAGACAAAUUAUCAACAUUUUAAGAUCAAGUAGGAAUAUUAUAAAAACAAGUUAAUUUUAAAUACUAAAAGCAGGAAUGAUGUCAUAUUGUAUGACUUAUGCCCAUUGAGAAUGUUUCAUAGAAUGAAUUAAAAAAAGUUCAAAAAAGGCAUAACUGAAUAAAGUAUACCAGUUGCAAGUUUCAUUUGAAUUUAAUGAAAACUGUAGGUUGAAUAUAGUCCAAAAUGAACUGAUAUAGCUGUAAUAAUGUUAAGUCCAAAAAAGGGACUUAUCUAAAAGUAGAAGCAGACAAUAAGCACAUGCCAACUUCAUACUGAUGACGUAUUCCAUGCAAUAAUGGAUCAUACCAAAGUCUAAACAUGCUUUUUUAAACAACAAUACACUAAAUUGUGGGUGAAACAGAAGUUUGUUUUAAACACAUUUUUCAACAAUACACAGCUUGAAGGUACAUGUAUAUGACUUACAUUUGUACAUGUAUAUAUUAGCCGGGCAGGUGCAAAAUGAUAACAGCACAUUUUAUGUGAAAGAUAACUUCCUCUUAUACAUGAUCAUAAAAUCAAGACUAAAGUCAUAUAAUGUCUUUGGCUUAUCACACCACAGAUAACAAACAAAGUUUCCUUUUUGUUAAUAAUCAACAUUGGUAAGUGGCCUCUGUGGGCGAGUGGUUAAGGUCGCUGACUUCAAACCACUUGCCCCUGAUCAAUAUGGGUUUGAGCCUCGCUCAGGGUGUUGAAUUCCUCAUGUGAGGAAGUCAUCCAGCUGGCUUAUGGAAGGCCGGUGGUUCUACCCAGAUGCCUGCCCAUGAUGAAGUAAUGCACAGAGGGGCACCUGGGAUCUGCCUUCACCUUCAAAGCUGGAAAAUCGCCAUAUGACUUAAAACGGUGUCGAUGGGGCGUUUAAACCCCCCCCCCCCCCCCCCCCCACCCCUCCAAAUAAAAAAAAUAAUAUCAACUGUGGUAGUUGUCAGAAGAUUGGAGGAAGUUGUAGGGCUUCAGUAAAGGAAUAGAAACUCAUCCCUCUCUUGCACCACCAGGCAACUGUGAUAUUGUGCAAUUUAAGGUUCCUGUUUCCAAUGUCAAGUGGCUUGCAGCCAGUCCAGUAGAGAAUGAGUCUGAGUUUACAUUUCAUAAUUUUUGCUGGUUUUACACCUAAAUGUUUUGCAGCCAGUCCAGAAGAGAAUGAGUCCAAGUUUAUAUUUCAUACUUAUUGCUGGUUUUACACCUAAAUGUUUUGCAGUUUUUUCUCUAAAUGAUUUUGAUUGAGUGUUAUCUAAGUUGGAAAGCAUUCGUUUGUUGUAUUUUUCUUUUUCCAACCCAGUGUUGUAGCAGCAGUCUUGGUCUACACACACUGCGUCUAGUUCAUUAACAGGAGGUCCAUUAUCCAAAGGAGAACAGGGCCCACAAUAAUUAUAGGCUAGGAGUGUUAUUUCUUUCUCAAAGGUUGGAAAGAUAACCUUGUUGUAUGAAUGUCAGUUGCACAUCCAGUGCGUUACACAAACGUUGUUUUGAUGUUGCCACAGGAUGCACACUGGGCUUUUAACAUAAGUUUACCAUUUUUUAUUGUAACAUAUUGAGGAUUUAUAGUAUCAGUAAAUUUCUGUUUUUUUACACAAUAUAUUUUAUAAUCCAUUAUGUAGUAUUUUUAUAUUUUUAAAAACUAAAAAAAUGUCUGACUUCAACUCGUCAUCAUCAUCUGCCCCUCUGCUACCACAGACUCCAGCCUUUUAAUGUCCUCUUCGGCCAGCUGUAUUUGAGCUUCUGUGGUUUCUUAGUCCUUCGUUACUUUUUUCAGCCUCUCAUUUUUUCUCCGUUUCCGGACAAGUCUUAAUUGUUUGUUCUGUUUUCUGACUAGUUCUAGACGUGCUUUGCCUAGCAUAUAGAAACACUAGUUUCUUCAGCCUCUUUCUCCAGAAAUGAGAAAAUUCCUUUGUUAGGUCUAUUACAUCCAUAUUGCCACACAAUUAUAAUCCUGUCAUAUUGAGAGAAGCUUGUCCUGGUGUGGCAUCUAGUGUUGCUUAUAUACUGUUAUUUUGCAACCCACACAUCCAGUUAUGACUGUGUAUAUUCGAGCACAUUCUGGAAGGCUGAUGAAAUGUUCAGCUGUAUUUUCAUUAUGGCAUUCCAAAGCAUGAUGAAAUUUCACAUUUGUAAGCGUGUCUUAAAUUCAGAUCCAAGACCAGAAUUCCUUUCCAUGACAAGUUUCUUGUGGAGGAAAAAGUUGUCCUGUUAAAAAUGUUUUUCCAAUAAACUAAAUCUCACGGUAGAAACAUUAACUCUUUCACUCAAUAAGAAACAAAUGUGGUUUAACCCUACACUACAAUAAAAAGAUAAACCUCAGCAUAUUGGUACCUUCAAUUUUUGGGUGUAUUUGACAUACCUGUACCUUGUAAGAUUUUUUUUUUGAAUUUCUUCCCUUUGUUAUUCCUGUCCUUCAACAGUCAAGUUCUUUAAAUCUUGCUCCCGUCCUCUGAUGUAACUCUUCGGGCAUAUAUUGCCCCGUAUGGCGGAGCUCUUGUUACAAGGCUCCAUAAUAUUCAACAGUUGAACUUGAAAUAUACCCAGUAUGUAAAAAAGAGAAAAAGAAUCAUCAAAUGAUUGCUUGACCACAGACAGACCAUAGUGAUAAAUGAAGUGACAAAGUCAAUAAUCUACUUUCACUUACAAAAGUUAAAAUACCAGAGAUAUACUUCUGACUUUAUUAUGUCAGAGAUUAAUAUUACCAAAAAUAUUCUACCUUUAACCAACUGUUACUGUACUCAAAACUGAUACCAAAAAUUUACUAAAAAUGCGGUAAUUAUAGCAUUUCUUGAAAACACUAAUUUACAAUUAACAGAUUAAUGUCAUACAAAAAAAAAAAUCAGAAAAAAGCAGUGAGUAAAAAUUACACUUAAAAUUAAAAACAGACCCUCCAAGUCCUGUAAUGUUGGAAUAGUACUGUCUACGUCUAAGUUCUCUGACUAUGCCUAUGCCUCAGUUUCAGUCUGUUCAUUAGUCUGUGUCUGAGCCGUGUGACUGACACGAAGCUCGUCUGACAAAGUACAUGUUGUACUUAAAGUCAGUGUGUGUCCUUCUGGCAGUGUGACCUUUUCCAAAGGUAAAGUCCAGUCUUGUGCCUUGAAGGACACGUUCAAAUCAUCUGUUGUUACAAAUAAUUGGUGUUUCUUUUCUCAGUUUGAAUAUUUUCUUAUGAAUAAAUAAAACGCAAUUUAAUAUUAUAUUGUAGCUGUAAUUCAUGGAGGUAGCUUUCAGUCAGAAUUGUCAGGAUGUCUUUGUCGCAAAGUUUGUAUCAGUAAAUCAAUAUGUGUUGCAAAGUCUUCAAUACUCCUGAAAAAAAGAUAAGCAAAAUAAAAAGAAUAAUCAUUUCCUAAUUAUAGAAAAAAUGCCUAAACAUUAAUAUGCACACAUAUUUUUAUAUUUAAUAAACAAAGAAUACAUAAACAAAAGUUACAUUAAAUUUUGUUAGUUUUCAUGUCUCCCACAUGUAGUGGCAGUGACAUAAUGACCUGUUGCUGUCUGUUUGUCUGUCAGUGUAUGUCACAAAGUUUGACCACACAACUUAUUCGACAUCACUGGAUGGACUUACGAGUGAUCAUUUAAAAGCCUGGUUUUGCAUGUUAUCGGCAUUUUCUGGUUCAGUGAUUUUCAGUAGAGUUAUGGCCCUUGAAUUAUCAAAUUUUAUAAUGUUUUGCCACUGUUUUAUAUCUUUGGGCAGAAAUCCAUCAAACCAAACAGGAGUAAACAGUUCCAAGUCUCAUUGUGCAUAUUUUUGGUUAAACUUUAUAUAUAUCAUCAACAUGAAGUGGACAUAUGCAUUUUACUCAUCUAAAUAUGUAAGGAAUAGCAGUUUUUGAACAUGGAAAUAUUAAAAGUAUAUCUUGUAGUAGAUUUUACUUAUGACUCUAUCAAGCAUUUUCAGGUGGCAUACGUCAAAGAGCUUUGACAGCAUUCUUGCUAAAUGCUACCCUUCUAAAUUUCUAUAAUGAACUUGUCCAUCUUUCAAUUUGGACAGUACCAUUAACUGUUAAAAGGGGUGCAAACCAGAAAGAUGCUGAAUGGAGAACAGUGCGGAUCUUGAUCAGACUGCACCAAGAUCUGCAUGGACAUGCAGGCUGAUCAUGCCCUACACUGGUCACAAAGGCAGAAUCAGUCAUGUCCAUGCUGGAUAUUGGAUACAGUGCUCUUUCUUCAAGUUUGCUCCUGAAACAUUGGCCCUGUGAUGAGGUAAAACAACCUGCUCAGUAAGUUAGCAUUAUAGUCAAAUGGUUUGGAAACAUGCUCAUUUAGUGGUUAUUUUAAAGGCAUUAGAAUUCAACUUAGGAAAUCUCUCACAAAAGAUCUGUGUUGUUUUUAGCUCACCUGUCACAAAGUGACAAGGUGAGCUUUUGUGACCGCUUGAUGUUCGUCGUCUGUCGUGUGUCAACAAUUUCUAAAGAAAUCUUCUUCUUCAAAACCACAGGGCAGAAUUACACCAAACUUCACGGGAAUGAUCCUUGGUUGGCCCCCUUUCAAAAUUGUUCAAAGAAUUGAAUUCCAUGCAGAACUCUGGUUGCCAUGGCAACUGAAAGGAAAAACUUUAAAAAUCUUCUUCUCAAAAACCAGAAGCCCUAGAGCUUAGAUAUUUGGUGUGAAGCAUUGCCUAGUGGACCUCUACCAAAUUUGUUCAAACAGUGACCCUGGGGUCAAAAUUGACCCUGCCCCAGGGGUCACUUGAUUUUACAUAGGAAAAUCUUUAAAAAAUCUUCUUCUCAAAAACCAGAAGCCCUAGAGCUAAGAUAUUUGACAUGUAGCAUUGCCUAAUGGACCUCUACAAAAUUUAUUCAAAUCAUGACCCUUGACCCUACCCCAGGGGUCACUUGAUUUUACAUAGGAAAAUCUUCAAAAAUUGUUUAAAAAUAAAGUAGAAGGCCUCGAGCUUAGAUAUUUCACAUGUAGCAUUGCCUAGUGGACCUCUACAAAUUUUUUUCAAAUCAUGACCCCCGGGGUCAAAAUUGACCCUGCCCCAGGGGUCACUUGAUUUUAAAUAGGAAAGUCUUAAAAAAUCUUCUUCUCAAAAACCAGAAGCCUUGAGCUUAGAUAUUUGAUAUGUAGCAUUGCCUAGUGGACCUCUAUUAAAAUUGUUCAAAUCAUGACCCCAGGGUCAAAAUUGACCCCACCCUAGGGGUCACUUGAUUUUACAUCUGAAAAUCUUCAAAAUUUUCUAAAAAUAAACCAGAAGGCCUAGAGCUUAGAUAUUUCCCAUAUAGCAUUGCCUAGUGGACCUCUACAACUUUUGUUUAAAUCAUGACACCUGGAUCAAAAUUGACCCCGCCCCAGGGGUCAUUUGAUUUUACAUAGGAAAAUCUUCAAAAUUUGUUUAAAAAAAAUCAGAAGGCCUAGAUCUUAGAUAUUUGACAUGUAGCAUUGCCUAGAAGACUUCUACAAAAUUUGUUCAAAUCAUGAUCCCUGGGGUCAAAUUGACCCAGCCCCAGGGGUUACUUGAUUGUACAUAGGGAAAUCUUCAUAUAUUUGCUAAAAAUAAACCAGAAGGCCUAGAUCUUAGAUGUUUAAUAUUUAACAUUGCCUAGUAGACUUGUAAAAACUUUGUUCAAAUCAUGACCCCUGGGUAAAAUUGGCCCCGCCCAAGGGGUUACUUGAUUGUACAUUGGAAAAUCUUCCCAAAAAAUACUAAAAUUCAUCAGUUUGACAUUUGAAACAUGUAGCUCAUAUUUCUCAGGUGAGUGAUCCAGGGUCAUCAUGACCCUCUUGUUCUGUUAAAGUCGCAGUUUAUUACAUGUUUUUCAAAAUAUCUUACAUUUUCCCAGUGUAAAAUAUCAAACAUCUUUCACUCAUGGGUGCUUCACCACUGUGAAAAUAUUGCAACUUGUGUUUAUGCAGUGAAAAAUAUUUUGAUGUUACACUGAAGCAUACUCUAUAUAUUACAUAAUGACAUGCAAUAUUAAGCUUCCAUGACUCUGGUAUGCUAUUUCACAGUUAUGCCCCUUUUAUGGUUCCCUACUGGUAUAAUGCCCUCUGUCAGUCUGUCCAUCCAUCUGUCCGCCUGCUCAAAAAUAUUCAAGCUAGGUUCAUAAAACUUUGUAUGUGAAUAGAGUGCAAUAUUGUAGAUUAUGCAAGCACAUGACUUGUAGGUCAAAGGUCAAGUUCUUAAAUGGAGGUCAAGUAAAAAUUGUUUCUGCUCAAUAACUUCUAUGUGCAUUGAUGGAUUAUCUUAGUGCUACACAAACAUUCUCGAUGAUGAGACAGUGUGUCAAUACAUGAUCAUUGUUAGUUGGUUAAAGGUCAAGGCCACCAGUAGGGAACUUCUGUAUUUCCGCUGCAAUACUUGGCCACUUGUUUUUACCUGGUAUUCAGUCAGUUUUAUUUUUUGUAACAAAUUCUUUAAUAGUCGGACAUUGCUGUCCUCUUUGUUGAUGAGUACUUUUUUAUUUCAAAUAAUCUGAAGCCUGUUUUACAUCAAACUAUAAUUACAAGUCUUUGGCCGCAGUUCUAGAUUAACAUAUAGACUGGUAAAAAUUCAUUUCUUUACAAGUUUUAUAUAAGAAACAGCAUUUUAUAGAAGAAUGAAAGAUAGGUCCUCUGACUUGAGUGUAUGCAUUAAAACAUAAAAAACAUUUAAUCAGUGUUGCUCAACAAAACUGCUUAAUCUGUUUACACAUUCCAGCAUUGCAUUUUUAGAACAAAUGGUCUAGUACAGUGAUUUUGCUGUUAUUACACACAAUGACACAGUAUAAACAAACUGAAAUGGCACAUAUUGAUUUUGAAUUUCUUUUUCAAAUAGAACACCUUCCCAUUACAUAUAUAUUUUCCUCAGAAAAAAAUAGUUUGUAGAUGUAACAUUGUACUUUUCAUCUUCUGUAACAUAGAUAUAAAUUGUUAAGGAAAGUUUUGGAGUAGUCAUUUUUAAGGUAGUUGUUUAACAUAUGAUUGCGAAAUUUAGUUGAUCAGAACUCGAGGAACCGUUAACCGUUGUUAAACUGAAUUUGGUGACCAGAAAAUUCCAACAUUUGAUACCACAGCUCAAGACGGGGUGGGGGUGGGGGGGGGGGGGUGAAGGCUCAGACAAUUUUAUUCCAUACAGUUACCUCUGCCUUGUUAUAAAUGUGUAUUGUUCACAAUUUUGUAUUAUGUAUUGUAUCUUAUCAAGCAGUUUGAUAGCUUCUACAUGUACUUUGUUAGAUUAGCUUAUUUUUCUGUAAGUGUAUUCAGAAUGAUGUCCCUGAUAAGUUUGGGUUCACACAUGUUUACAUCUAAAGAAUCCAGAGAAUUGUCCAUGCUGUGUACUAUAACAACAACACCAAAUUCAUCGUAUUUUCGAACGAUAUUACAAAUGUAUUUGUAAAUGAAUUUCAGAAAGGCUAUUUUGAAUCAUUUAGGAUAGCAAGUCAGUUGAGCACGUGGACAUAAAACAUGUUUAUUAUUUAAAUCUUGAUAUAGAUGAACAUGUCAACCUGUCAGGAAAUGAAAUGUGAAUAUUUGUCUGAUAAGAAAUUGGUUCACUGACUUCAAAUUUACAUGUUAUUAAUAAUAUUGAUCUGUUUAAUUGACAUAUAAUCUUGGAUAUUUAGUAGAUGUUAUUUCAAUAAAUAAUGACUCGUGUAAUAAAGAAUGAAUAACAUGCCAUGCUUAAAUUGUUGAAUAAAAUUAUGAUAUAAAUAC
Long non-coding RNA from Mercenaria mercenaria, 19081 nucleotides. RefSeq lists it as uncharacterized. The transcript has 2 exons. The record is from RefSeq and is a predicted model, not a curated record. NCBI's taxonomy places the organism in Eukaryota, Metazoa, Mollusca, Bivalvia, Venerida, Veneridae.